Molecule: non-coding RNA, 54 nt
Organism: Salmo salar (Atlantic salmon)
Lineage: Eukaryota; Metazoa; Chordata; Actinopteri; Salmoniformes; Salmonidae
Source: Rfam
UGUGUUCACUACUGUAAGUCUCUCUGGAUAAGAGCGUCUGCUAAAUGACUAAAA